This 489-nucleotide ribosomal RNA is filed under the name uncultured fungus. RNAcentral describes it as "partial 18S ribosomal RNA". It matches the Rfam family "Eukaryotic small subunit ribosomal RNA", at positions 70 to 388 of the family's 1831-position model. The record is from RNAcentral. Lineage: Eukaryota; Fungi.
CUANCUNUUNCUGCGAAACUGCGAACGGCUCAUUAAAUCAGUUAUAAUUUACUUGAUCGUAUUUCCCCUACUGGAAUACCGGGANGAUUCCAAAACUUAUACCUGGCUAAAAACCCGAAUCUCUCAUUGGGGAUGAUAGGANGAAUUUAUUACAUUACCGGCCACCGCACGGGAUUCGAUUUGUAAUAACUGGUGUCUGCCCAGGUCCAGGGCCUUUUAUGACAAAUUCAAAGUGAUUCCCUAUAACUUGUCGAAGCUCAGAUGCAUUACCCGGCNAUGAUCCAUGCGAAUUUCUGCCUUAUCAACUUUCGACGGUAGUAUAGAGGACUACCGUGGUUACAACGGGUAACGGGGAACGAUUCAGUCGAUUUUCUGCCCCUUCANGUCUCGAUGGUAGGAUAGAGGCCUACCAUGGUCUCAACGGGUAACGGGGAAUUUUUCGGAGCNGNUGNGUUNAAAUUUUUNUCUUUGCUUUNGNUUUGUUUUNGU